UAACUGGCCAGCCCUCCUGCCCCAGCCCCAGGGAGUGCUGGGAUUACAGAUGUAUGUUAUGUCACUGGGCUAGAAUAAUCUCUUAGCAACUGUGUGUUGAUGGCCAUGAUGGCAGAAUGUAAGUCUGAGAGAGAGCAUUCAUUGAGAGCAUGCUCUGUGUCAGCCAUUGUGGUGAAUACUGUAUAUCUCUAGUACCUUUUCAUCUUCACCUCAUGCCCAGGAGGGGCUACGCAGGGAUGAGCACAGUGAUCCGAAAACACAAGGUUUGGUGAGAGGCAAAGAUGGAGCUGGGCUCGAGCUUUGGUGGAAUUUGAAUAAGCAAAAGGGACAACAUAUGAUUUGUUUUAUUUGGUACCCAAAGGUCUGUGCAUUGAACUUCAGCUGUAAGGGAUUCAGUACUUUGAGUGUAUUACUGCAGCUAUGAAGAAGGAGCCCCAUAAUGAGGAGGAGCUGCUUCCACGGGGAUCUGUUGUCUUCCAAGGACUUCAUUCAAGCAUCCUCGUUCUGUUUCUGAGCAAACCAGCUAGUGAGGUGUGACUACUGACUGGCACUUCUCUUCCGUUUGAGAUGAAGGAAACGCCACAGAGAACUGGAUUCUCUUGCUCAACACCAUGCAGCUUACCCCAUGCAGCACCUGACUCUAAUCCAGUUUGCUGGUCCAGGGGAUUGAACCCAGGUUCUCUCACUUGCUAAGCACUGGCUCUAUCAUUCACCUACACCCCCGGUCUGGCUUCACAAAUUUAUAUAAAUUCCUUUUGAGAUAUGUUACUAGAAUGCCCUUGACAUUAUGGCCAAUAUACAGGUAAGUAUUUGAAACAAGUGCCAUAUUCAAUCAGUAAGUACAUUGAUUAGGUAAUCGAGUACAAACGGAAUGUAGGUCAGAAUUAUACAAUUUCUUUUCC
This is a non-coding RNA of Heterocephalus glaber (naked mole-rat), 902 nucleotides long. The record is from RefSeq and is a predicted model, not a curated record. NCBI's taxonomy places the organism in Eukaryota, Metazoa, Chordata, Mammalia, Rodentia, Bathyergidae.